UGGCUCGAUCCAUUGUAAGAAACAAAAAAGGAAUACGUAAUUAGGUACAGCGUUCUCUCCAAAGCCCUCCUCCCCUCUUCACAAAACUCCUCGAUUCGGAGGGGGAUCGCCGCCACGCCACGCCGCCACCCUGCUCUCUGUCUCCUCCGAUCCGCGGAUCACCGCCACCGUACCUGGAUUCUCCGUCUCCUCUGAUUUUGACGAUUGCCCGUUCCAAUCGUACAGAUCCCGGGCGUAGCUCCGCCCUCUCUCCCCGAUCUUCACCCUCUCCUCCCACCGCACCUCAUUCCUUGAUCUCCACGUCUCUGCUGGGUUCCUCCGCCACCGCCACCGAUCUCCAGGGCUCCCUGGGGAUCCAUUCAAAGAUAGAUCGCCGAGGUACAAAGUUGUAUAUCACAAAGUUGCGGAUUGAUUCCUCAUAUUUAUUUGGUGUUGGCGACAAACCAGAGGCAAAUGAUAUUUAGUGACACUGCAGUACUUCAUCCACUGUCUGCUAAAACAAGUUCUAUUAUAUCACCCCUGAAAGGGAAGACAGCAUGCGGCUUUCCUUGUCUCUGCAAGAUCUAAAAUCAUUCUCUAAAUUAAAUUCAGGAGGGGUGGAUGACCUUGUAAAUGAUAGGAGUUAUGGACGUGCAAAACCUCUUCGUUCUCUUCAAAGGGAAGGUGCUGCAUCAAGCUUUUCGAAGGAGAAAUCCUCUCCGUCAACACCAACCAAACGGAAGAUAUGGGUACGAGCAACAAUAUUUGUCAUUACAGUUCUAUUAUUGUUCUCAUUGAUCUUACUAUUCUCAAGAUUCUUUCGUACUUAUUGGUCACGUGAGGCAUCUGAGUAUACCGUUGUACUCGAUUGUGGUAGUACUGGGACACGGGUUUAUGUGUACAAGUGGGCUGUUGAUCAAACUGAAGGCACUAGAAAUUUUCCUAUUGCAUUAAGGUCUUUACCUGAAGGUCCUCAGAGAACUCCUGCAACACAAAGUGGUCGUGCAUAUCAUCGUAUGGAAACGGAGCCUGGUUUUCAUAAACUUGUUCAUAACGAAUCUGGUUUAAGGGCUGCUUUGCAGCCACUGCUUCAGUGGGCUGAGACGCAAAUACCAAAACAUGCUCACAAAGGUACAUCUCUGUUUCUGUAUGCUACAGCAGGAGUUCGAAGGUUACCCAGUUCUGAUUCAGAGUGGCUGCUGGAGAAGGCAUGGACCAUUCUGAAGAAUUCAUCAUUUUUAUGCAGGAGAGACUGGGUUAAUAUUAUAUCUGGCAUGGAGGAAGCCUAUUAUGGGUGGAUAGCUCUUAACUAUCGUAUGGGUUUCCUGGGUUCUUUACCAGUUGGAAAAACAUAUGGUUCACUUGAUCUGGGUGGUUCAUCAUUGCAAGUUACUUUUGAAACAGAAACGCCCACACAAGAUGACACAGGCAUAGAAUUGAGAAUUGCAUCUGCUAGUCACCAUCUUAGUGCUUAUUCUUUAUCAGGAUAUGGAUUGAACGAUGCAUUUGACAAAUCUGUGGCUCAUCUUUUCAGAAAGAUCGUGGGUACGACAGAUAAUAUUAAUAAUGACAAGUUACAGCUUAAACAUCCUUGCUUAAAUACUGGCUAUAAGGAGGAGUAUGCAUGUUCUCGCUGUACUUCAGCUAGCUUAGAAGGAAGUCCUUUGAUUGGAGGGAAAACCAUGACCAAAGGUCUGACUGGAACAACUGUUGAACUGCUUGGUGCUCCUGAAUGGGAUCAAUGCAGUGCACUUGCAAAAUUAACAGUUAAUCUGUCUGCAUGGUCUAACCUUAGUUCUGGAGUUGACUGUGAACUUAAACCUUGUGCUCUCAGUGAUGGUUUGCCUCAUCCACAUGGGAAAUUCUAUGCCAUGUCAGGUUUCUAUGUGGUUUUUCGGUUUUUUAAUUUGUCUUCUGAGGCUUCUCUUGAAGAUGUGCUAAAAAGGGGUCAGGAUUUUUGUGGAAAAACAUGGGAAGUUGCAAAGAAUAGUGUUGCUCCACAACCUUUCAUAGAACAAUAUUGCUUUAGAGCCCCUUAUGUUGCAUCCCUUUUGAGGGAUGGGUUGCACAUUAAGGAUAGCGAGGUUAUAAUUGGUUCUGGUAGUAUUACUUGGACCUUGGGGGUAGCCUUAUUGGAGGCUGGACAAACAUUGUCCAACAGAGUUCCACCACAGGGUUAUAAUAUAGUACAUGCGGACAUACAUCCGGCUAUUCCUCUAUUAUUGCUUUUGAUGUCAGUUGUAUUACUUUGUUGUGCACUAUCAUGUGCAAGCAACUGGAUUCCAAGAUUUUCCCGAAGAUCAUACCUCCCACUUUUCAGGCAUAACAGUGUCACAAACUCUGUUCUUAAUAUCCCUUCCCCUUUCAAAUUCCAGCGGUGGAGUCCUAUUAUUUCAGGUGAUGGAAGGAUAAAGACACCACUCAGUCCUACAAUUGGUGGUUCUGGGCAGCACCCAUUUAGCAUGCGACAUGAUUUGGGAGGCAGCAGCAUACAGCUUAGUGAAUCUUCUGUGCAUCCCUUGGUUGUUUCUCAUAGUUCUUCAUCUGGUAGUUUAGGCCAAAUGCAGUUUGGCAAUGGUGCGGGAACCUUCUGGCCACCUCACCGGGGUCAGGCAACACUUUCGAGCCGGAAAUCUCAGUCAAGAGAAGAUCUCGACUCUUCAUUGGCAGAAGCUCACAUGGUGAAGAUUUGACCUAGAGGUUGCACUGCAGACCUGUUGAACUCUCAUGUUUGGAACGACAAGCUUUGAUGAAUUCCAUUUGGGAGGCUUUUCUUCAAUGAGAGCAAUUAACUUUGAAAGAUGCUCCAAAUUGAACCGUACCAUGGACCACAGCCUCAGCUUUCUUCUUCUCCAUUCCUCCUUGAGUUUGUUUGACAGAUCAUGUUCUACCAAACUACAUGUAUAGAUGGCAGUGGACACCAGCACAGUGUCCAAAGGAUCCUCUCAAGGAGUGUGACAGGCCACCAUCAACACACACACAAAGCUGGAUCUUUCUAUGCUGGACUUGGAAACCAACUUGUCCAAGACUGAUGACAAGUUAUUGAUUAGAUUAAUCGAUUGAUUGAAUGCUGUUAUCUUUUGCAUGCUCAGAGCUAUUGGCCUUUCAGUUCUUCCAAUUGAAGAUUUCCUAGACUCACCAUCAACCUUGCUGAGAGACCACAAAGGUAUUAUCUCUUCCAAUGCUAGCUUGUGUCAUAUGCCACAAAUUUUGGUUUCUUUCACACUAAUCUGCUGAUAGUUUGAUGUCCUGAAACACUGGUUUAGGAUUUGCACUGGCCAUUUAUAAUAUAUAGCUCACUGUUAACAGGGCCAGUUACUAUUUGAUGAAGAGAAUAGCAAAAAGUGUAGAGAUUAAGAAUGUUUAUAACCAACAAGUAUUAUGGUUGUGAUUCAAUCAAUGACACAAACAUUUUAAAUCA
RNA transcript from Musa acuminata AAA Group (dessert banana), 3400 nucleotides. It is a transcript of the gene named probable apyrase 7, with no coding region annotated. NCBI's taxonomy places the organism in Eukaryota, Viridiplantae, Streptophyta, Magnoliopsida, Zingiberales, Musaceae. The record is from RefSeq and is a predicted model, not a curated record. The transcript is spliced from 5 exons.